GACGAACGCUGGCGGCGUGCUUAACACAUGCAAGUCGAACGGAAAGGCCCUGCUUUUGUGGGGUGCUCGAGUGGCGAACGGGUGAGUAACACGUGAGUAACCUGCCCUUGACUUUGGGAUAACUUCAGGAAACUGGGGCUAAUACCGGCUAGGAGCUCCUGCUGCAUGGUGGUGGUUGGAAAGUUUCGGCGGUUGGGGAUGGACUCGCGGCUUAUCAGCUUGUUGGUGGGGUAGUGGCUUACCAAGGCUUUGACGGGUAGCCGGCCUGAGAGGGUGACCGGCCACAUUGGGACUGAGAUACGGCCCAGACUCCUACGGGAGGCAGCAGUGGGGAAUAUUGCACAAUGGGCGGAAGCCUGAUGCAGCAACGCCGCGUGCGGGAUGACGGCCUUUGGGUUGUAAACCGCUUUCGCCUGUGACGAAGCGUGAGUGACGGUAAUGGGUAAAGAAGCACCGGCUAACUACGUG
Molecule: ribosomal RNA, 468 nt
Filed under: uncultured bacterium
Lineage: Bacteria
Description: partial 16S ribosomal RNA
Rfam family: Bacterial small subunit ribosomal RNA
Source: RNAcentral